AACGCAGCUUGCACUUCCUGGUAUUCCAGGGAGUAUACCUGUUUGAGUGUAAUGAAACUUUUCUCAAACUUUUGUUGUAACGAAGUUUGGAUUGAUGGAGUUUAUGCUGUAUUCUGUAUAGCUACUCUUGAAUGCAUUUAACCCAAGAAUGUGAAGAAAGAAAACAAAAGGGGGGGCUUGAUAAACACUUAUUUGUCGGCCUUUUUUGCGUUUGUCUUUCUUAAUACUUAUGUUGACCUCAGAUCAGGUAGGACUACCCGCUGAACUUAA
Molecule: unclassified non-coding RNA, 270 nt
Filed under: uncultured fungus
Lineage: Eukaryota; Fungi
Description: sequence contains ITS2
Source: RNAcentral